AUGAGAACGUAGCGAAAUGCGAUAAGUAAUGUGAAUUGCAGAAUCCAGUGAAUCAUCGAAUCUUUGAACGCACAUUGCGCCCGCCAGCAUUCUGGCGGGCAUGCCUGUUCGAGCGUCAUUUCAACCCUCGACCUCCCCUUGGGGAGGUCGGCGUUGGGGACCGGCAGCACACCGCCGGCCCUGAAAUGGAGUGGCGGCCCGUCUGCGGCGACCUCUGCGUAGUAAUACAGCUCGCACCGGAACCCCGACGCGGCCACGCCGUAAAACACCCAACUUCUGAACGUUGACCUUGAAUCAGGUAGGACUACCCGCUGAACUUAAGCAUAUCAAUAAGCGGAGGA
Molecule: unclassified non-coding RNA, 341 nt
Filed under: soil metagenome
Description: partial contains 5.8S ribosomal RNA, internal transcribed spacer 2, and large subunit ribosomal RNA
Rfam family: 5.8S ribosomal RNA (bases 4-118)
Source: RNAcentral